This 767-nucleotide ribosomal RNA is filed under the name Williamsia sp. CTLA06. RNAcentral describes it as "bacterial SSU rRNA". It matches the Rfam family "Bacterial small subunit ribosomal RNA", at positions 105 to 884 of the family's 1533-position model. Lineage: Bacteria; Bacillati; Actinomycetota; Actinomycetes; Mycobacteriales; Nocardiaceae. The record is from RNAcentral.
GGUGAGUAACACGUGGGUGAUCUGCCCCAAACUUUGGGAUAAGCCUGGGAAACUGGGUCUAAUACCGAAUAUGACCUGCCCUCGCAUGGGGGUUGGUGGAAAGCUCCGGCGGUUUGGGAUGGGCCCGCGGCCUAUCAGCUUGUUGGUGGGGUAAUGGCCUACCAAGGCGACGACGGGUAGCCGGCCUGAGAGGGCGACCGGCCACACUGGGACUGAGACACGGCCCAGACUCCUACGGGAGGCAGCAGUGGGGAAUAUUGCACAAUGGGCGCAAGCCUGAUGCAGCGACGCCGCGUGAGGGAUGACGGCCUUCGGGUUGUAAACCUCUUUCACCAGGGACGAAGCGAAAGUGACGGUACCUGGAGAAGAAGCACCGGCCAACUACGUGCCAGCAGCCGCGGUAAUACGUAGGGUGCGAGCGUUGUCCGGAAUUACUGGGCGUAAAGAGUUCGUAGGCGGUUUGUCGCGUCGUUCGUGAAAACUUGGGGCUUAACUCCAAGCGUGCGGGCGAUACGGGCAGACUUGAGUACUACAGGGGAGACUGGAAUUCCUGGUGUAGCGGUGAAAUGCGCAGAUAUCAGGAGGAACACCGGUGGCGAAGGCGGGUCUCUGGGUAGUAACUGACGCUGAGGAACGAAAGCGUGGGUAGCGAACAGGAUUAGAUACCCUGGUAGUCCACGCUGUAAACGGUGGGUACUAGGUGUGGGUUCCUUUUCACGGGAUCCGUGCCGUAGCUAACGCAUUAAGUACCCCGCCUGGGGAGUACG